GAUUAAGAACGUAGCGAAAUGCGAUAAGUAGUGUGAAUUGCAGAAUUCAGUGAAUCAUCGAAUCUUUGAACGCACAUUGCGCCCCUUGGUAUUCCAUGGGGCAUGCCUGUUCGAGCGUCAUUUGUACCUUCAAGCUCUGCUUGGUGUUGGGUGUUUGUCUCGCCUCUGCGCGUAGACUCGCCUCAAAACAAUUGGCAGCCGGCGUAUUGAUUUCGGAGCGCAGUACAUCUCGCGCCUUGCACUCAUAACGACGACGUCCAAAAGUACAUUUUUACACUCUUGACCUCGGAUCAGGUAGGGAUACCCGCUGAACUUAAGCAUAUCAAUAAGCGGAGGA
This 337-nucleotide unclassified non-coding RNA is filed under the name soil metagenome. RNAcentral's name for it is "partial contains 5.8S ribosomal RNA, internal transcribed spacer 2, and large subunit ribosomal RNA". The stretch from base 1 to 120 matches the Rfam family "5.8S ribosomal RNA", at positions 35 to 154 of the family's 154-position model. The record is from RNAcentral.